This 67-nucleotide transfer RNA is filed under the name Hemidactylus fasciatus (banded leaf-toed gecko). RNAcentral describes it as "tRNA-Ala". Lineage: Eukaryota; Metazoa; Chordata; Lepidosauria; Squamata; Gekkonidae. The record is from RNAcentral.
GAGGUCUUAGCUUAUAUAAAGUGUCUGAGUUGCAAUCAGGUGAUGUAUUGUUUAAUUUACAGGCCUU